UGGAUUGGAGGCCCCUGGAGGAGAAGUAGAGAAAAAACCACCGAAUUGAGCUCUGUCAGAGGCGCUUUCGGCUUCCAAGGGGAAGUGCUGGGCAAUAAUUAAUGUUUUUAUUAAAUUUGGAGGGAUUUUUUUGCAGCCGUUCGCCUAGCGUGGCCUUCAGUCCCGUUAGGUGCAAAGCAAGUCUCGUUGAUCGCCAUUGCUAGUUUUGCACACGUUUGAGAAUCAGAGCUGCCCGGGGUUCACCGACCGCGCAGGGAAACAUCCAGAGUGUAAAUAAAUACAUCGCCUCUUGUUCGGAUUUUUGCUACUACCGAAAAUAUGUAAAUUGUGAACUCUCUUGGCUCUCUUUGGAUCCAGGUUGAUAGAAGUCCAGAUCCUAAGGAAACCUCCAGCUAAAUGCUCAAAAUAUAAAAUACUGAGCUAAUAUUUGCGAAGAGCUGCGGAAUGGAUGGAUUUUAUGACCAGCAAGUGCCUUACGUGGUCACCAAUAGUCAGCGUGGGAGAAAUUGUAACGAGAAACCAACAAAUGUCAGGAAAAGAAAAUUCAUUAACAGAG
RNAcentral lists this long non-coding RNA (556 nucleotides) under Castor canadensis (American beaver). RNAcentral describes it as "lncRNA (ENSCCNG00000025902.1)". The record is from RNAcentral. Lineage: Eukaryota; Metazoa; Chordata; Mammalia; Rodentia; Castoridae.